CUCGAUUGUUAAGUACCAUUGUA
This 23-nucleotide non-coding RNA is filed under the name Cricetulus griseus (Chinese hamster). The record is from RNAcentral. Lineage: Eukaryota; Metazoa; Chordata; Mammalia; Rodentia; Cricetidae.